This is a long non-coding RNA of Gadus macrocephalus (Pacific cod), 1966 nucleotides long. RefSeq lists it as uncharacterized. The record is from RefSeq and is a predicted model, not a curated record. The transcript is spliced from 2 exons. Lineage: Eukaryota; Metazoa; Chordata; Actinopteri; Gadiformes; Gadidae.
UUCAGAGGAGCAGAGUGCGUUCAAGCAUGCUGAGGGUGAACCCUGCAGCAGCUGCAGCGCGAACAAUGUCCCAGACUCUGCAAAGAAGGGCAUAUAGAGUUGCUGGCCCAAACUCCUUGUGGCACAUCGAUGGCAACCACAAGUUGAUAAGGUGGAGGAUUGUUAUCCAUGGGGCCAUCGAUGGAUACAGCCGGUUGGUUGUGUUCCUCCGAGCCUCCGAUAACAACCGGAGCAGCACGGUGAUGGAGAGCUUCCUGAGUGCUGUGGCGAAGUAUGGCGUGCCUUCGAGGGUCAGGACUGACCACGGAGGUGAGAACAACUCGGUCUGCCUCAUGAUGAACCUUUUUAGAGGGUCAAACAGAGGUAGUGCUCUCCGGGGGAGAAGCACCCACAACCAGCGCAUCGAACGGCUCUGGGGGGGAUUUGUGGCGAGGAAUGUCCAACGUAUACUAUGAACUCUUCAACUUCCUGGAGAGCGAAGGUAUCGUGGACAUUGAAAACGAGAUGCACAUGGCGGCACUGCACUACGUGUACCUCCCGCGGAUUAACCGUGACCUUUGCGGCUUCAUUGAACAGUGGAAUAACCAUGGACUGAGGACGGAAAGGCAUGCUACUCCACUGCAGAUGUUCGUCAGAGGUUGCCUGGAACGGCAGGGACAGACCACUACUGCAAUGCUAUCCGUAUUUGGUGGAGAAGGAGGUGCUGUGGAGGAAGGAGGUGCGACGGAGGAAGGAGGUGCUGCGGAGGAAGGAGAAGGGGAAGACCCAGCAAGAGAGGGCGGUGCUGGUGCAGGAGAGGUGCACUGGCCUGAGAGGGUCACCGUACCCUCAAAUCAGUACCUCAUUGGGGAUGCUGUUUUGGAGCAGCUAAACAGCACCUUUGACCCUCUUGCUGGUCCUAGAGGAGACCUUGGACUGGACCUCAUCCGUGAGGUUGUGUCUCUUCUGGCAUUACAAUGAGACAAUGUCUCAUUGUUAUUGUUCCCCCCCGUGGAAGGACGCUUGAAGUUCCCCCACACACACACACACACACAGGGAAGGACGCUUGGAGUGCCCCCACACACACACACACACACAGGGAAGGACGCUUGGAGUGCCCCCCCACACACACACACACAGGGAAGGACGCUUGGAGUGCCCCCACACACACACACACACACAGGGAAGGACGCUUGGAGUGCCCCCACACACACAGGGAAGGACGCUUGGAGUGCCCCCCCACACACACACACACAGGGAAGGACGCUUGGAGUGCCCCCACACACACACACACACACACACACACACACACACACACACACACCUAUUUUCCCACUCAUGACCUGCACCUUGACGUGGUGAGUGGGCUUUCCACCAAGCCAGGUCAAACUAUUGUGUUCCAGCCUCACUAUGUUAAAGGUAAACAAAAACAAAUGUCUGACUGCAACAAAGUGCUCUAUCUCUGUAAAGUACAGUGGGGAAUUAGAAAAGUCCUACAUGGUUGAACUAUUUUCCAAAUGUUAAAGACAGACUUCUCAGUGACUUGGCUGAAUUCAUUGGCUUGGCUGCGUUCUGUUCCUGUUGUGGUAAUAAGAAGUAGAGCCCCCCCAUCUUCAUCUGCCUGGAAGCUGCCUUCUCCGGGUAAACUUCGUCCUGAAUGGGCUUCCUUCCAAUCGGGCUCUGCUCCUCACAUUAAGCAUAGCCCAUCUUUACCCAAGACGCAGAUGUUUUAUUCACUGUUAUCCCUCAAUAAAGUUUCUUUGAUGUGUUGUUAAUCAUGUAUGACUAAUGCUGCCCUACUGUGUGAAAGGUGUGAAAACGUUGGGAUAGCUUAUGGUCAUGAUGCUUACGUUGAGAAAUAUGUAGUAGGCCUACUGCUUAGAAAUGAAUUUUUAUGAAGCUUGUCUAUAUGCUAUUUCCCAUGAUGAUAAAUUAACAUUUCAUUGCUGUGAGUUGUGAAGAUUAUACAAAUAAAUAGUAAAUGUGC